This 440-nucleotide ribosomal RNA is filed under the name uncultured bacterium. RNAcentral describes it as "partial 16S ribosomal RNA". It matches the Rfam family "Bacterial small subunit ribosomal RNA", at positions 338 to 795 of the family's 1533-position model. The record is from RNAcentral.
CCUACGGGUGGCAGCAGUAGGGAAUAUUGCUCAAUGGGGGAAACCCUGAAGCAGGAACGCCGCGUGGAGGAUGAAGGUUUUCGGAUUGUAAACUCCUUUUGUUAGAGAAGAGAAUGACGGUAUCUAACGAAUAAGCACCGGCUAACUCCGUUCCAGCAGCCGCGGUAAUACGGAGGGUGCAAGCGUUACUCGGAAGCACUGGGCGUAAAGGGCGCGUAGGCGGGAUAGCAAGUCAGAUGUGAAAUCCUAUGGCUUAACCAUAGAACUGCAUUUGAAACUGUUAGUCUAGAGUAUGGGAGAGGUAGGUGGAAUUCUUGGUGGAGAGGUGAAAUCCGUAGAGAUCAGGAGGAAUACUCAUUGCGAAGGCGACCUGCUAGAACAUAACUGACGCUGAUGCGCGAAAGCGUGGGGAGCAAACAGGAUUAGAUACCCCGGUAGUC